Physeter macrocephalus (sperm whale) is the source of this 1478-nucleotide long non-coding RNA. RefSeq lists it as uncharacterized. Lineage: Eukaryota; Metazoa; Chordata; Mammalia; Artiodactyla; Physeteridae. The record is from RefSeq and is a predicted model, not a curated record. The transcript has 3 exons.
CGCUCGGCCCCGCUCGGCCCCGCUCGGCCCGGCGGCUUUCUGGGCCCCGGAGCGAGAAGCUCGGACCCGCAACUGCGGUCGCGAGGCUGAGCGACCCAGGCCCAACGCGAGGCACUGGCGUAGCAGCCCUCACGGCCUCCUGGGGCGCCCUGGCAUUACCUGACCGGAAACGAACCUUCCUCUCCUCCGUUCUUGGAACAAACAUUAAUGGAACGCCUCCUGUGUACCAGACCUGGACUUAGCAUUAAUGCAGAGCCUGCUAUGUGCCACGUAUGGGACGAGCAUUAAUGGAGUACCUGCUGUAUAUCAGACUGUGAACUUCAGGAGGGCAGUGACUGCAUGUGUCUCGGUCACCCUGGGGUCCGCAACGUCCAGCACAGAGCCUCAGGCCUCUUCCCUCCUCUAGCAAAACGGUGCACCAGUGCUGGCCUGGAUAGUGAUGAGUGGACUCGCCCACCCACAUGUUGGGAUCUCCCUCACCCGCUCUUACAGCAAGCUCUUUACGGACGUCUAGACCAUCCUAUUCUGCUGGAGAAGCACAUGUGCAGAAGAACUGAGGCCUCCGGCCAAGAGGUGCAGGAGGGAACCGGUUUGGAAGCGGCUCCUCCAGCCCCAGUGCAUAGCUUGAUUGCAAGCUCGUGAGAGACCCCGAGUCAGAACCAUCCAGCUACACCACUCUCAAAUUUCUGACCCUACCAAACUGUGUGAGACCAUGAAUGUUUAUUGUUUUAAGGCAGCAAGUUUGGGGGUGUUUCGUUACGUAGAAAUUAAUAGCAACACAUGUACCCAAGAGAAACAAAAGCACAGGUGUACAUAAGACCCGUACACACGGGACUUCCCUGGUGGUCCAGUGGUUAGGACUCCGCGCUUCCACUGCAUGGGGCUCCGGUUUGAUCCCUGGUUGGGGAACUAAGAUCUCACAUGCCGCGUGGUGCGGCUAAAACAAACAAACAAACAAACAAACCAGCAAAAAAGACCUGUACACACAUGGUGUAGCAGCUUUAUUGAUAAGAUCUCCAAACUAGAAACAACCCAAAUGUCCACCAACAAAGUGAGUGGAUAAACAAAAUGGGGUCCAUCCAUUCUCUGGAAUAUGAUUCAGCCAUAAAAAAGGAAAAACACAACAUGAAUGACUCUUAAAUGCCUUAUGCUGAGUGAAAGGCACCAGACACAAAAGAGGAUGUACUGUAUGAUUCCAUUUAUAUAAAAUUCUGGAAAACACCCACUAUGGAAAUCUAUAGUGACUGAAAAUAGAUUGCUGUUUGCCUGGGGCUGGAGGGUCGGGGCAGGGAGGGGCCCAAGGAAACUUUCUGGGGUGACGGAAACGUUUGGCCGUGCCACGCGGCUUGUGGGAUCUUGUUCACUAUCUUUUUUGUUGUUGUUGUUCACUAUCUUGAUUGUGCCCAUGAUUGGGGUAGACAUAUGACAAAACUCAUCAAAAUGUACAUUUUAAACACUUGCAGUUCGUGGCAUGUCAA